This 939-nucleotide ribosomal RNA is filed under the name Natronococcus occultus. RNAcentral describes it as "bacterial SSU rRNA". It matches the Rfam family "Archaeal small subunit ribosomal RNA", at positions 468 to 1411 of the family's 1478-position model. Lineage: Archaea; Methanobacteriati; Methanobacteriota; Halobacteria; Halobacteriales; Natrialbaceae. The record is from RNAcentral.
CGGUAAUACCGGCAGCACGAGUGAUGGCCGCUCUUAUUGGGCCUAAAGCGUCCGUAGCUGGCCAGGCAAGUCCAUCGGGAAAUCUCCCCGCCUAACGGGGAGGCGUCCGGUGGAAACUGCCUGGCUUGGGACCGGAAGAUCCAGAGGGUACGUCCGGGGUAGGAGUGAAAUCCUGUAAUCCUGGACGGACCGCCGGUGGCGAAAGCGCUCUGGAAAGACGGAUCCGACGGUGAGGGACGAAAGCUCGGGUCACGAACCGGAUUAGAUACCCGGGUAGUCCGAGCUGUAAACGAUGUCUGCUAGGUGUGCCACAGGCUACGAGCCUGUGGUGUGCCGCAGGGAAGCCGUGAAGCAGACCGCCUGGGAAGUACGUCCGCAAGGAUGAAACUUAAAGGAAUUGGCGGGGGAGCACUACAACCGGAGGAGCCUGCGGUUUAAUUGGACUCAACGCCGGACAUCUCACCAGCAUCGACAGUAGGAGUGACGGUCAGUGUGAUGAGCUUACCAGACCUACUGAGAGGAGGUGCAUGGCCGCCGUCAGCUCGUACCGUGAGGCGUCCUGUUAAGUCAGGCAACGAGCGAGACCCGCACUCCUAAUUGCCAGCAACACCCUUGUGGUGGUUGGGUACAUUAGGAGGACUGCCAGUGCCAAACUGGAGGAAGGAACGGGCAACGGUAGGUCAGUAUGCCCCGAAUGUGCUGGGCAACACGCGGGCUACAAUGGUCGAGACAGUGGGACGCAACCCCGAAAGGGGGCGCUAAUCUCCGAAACUCGAUCGUAGUUCGGAUUGCGGACUGAAACUCGUCCGCAUGAAGCUGGAUUCGGUAGUAAUCGCCGUUCAGAAGACGGCGGUGAAUACGUCCCUGCUCCUUGCACACACCGCCCGUCAAAGCACCCGAGUGAGGUCCGGAUGAGGCCCCUUCUGGGGGUCGAAUCUG